GACGAACGCUGGCGGCGUGCCUAAUACAUGCCAGUCGAACGCACAGGUUAUACCGUAGCUUGCUACACCAUAAACGGUGAGUUGCGAACGGGGGAGGAACGCGUAGGUAACCUGCCUGGUAACGGGGGAUAACUAUUGGAAACGCUAGCUAAUACCGCAUACUAUUGAUUAUUGCAUGGAAAUUGAUGGAAAGAUGCUAUUGAAUCACUACCAGAUGGACCGGCGUUGUAUUAGCUAGUAGGUGAGGUAACGGCUCACCUAGGCGACGAUACAUAGCCGACAUGAGAGGGUGAUCGGCCACACUGGGAGGGUGACACGGCCCAGACGCCCUCGGGUGGCGGCAAUAGGGAUUCUGCGGCAAGCGGUGAAAGUCAGAGCGAGAUGCGCCGAGUGAGUGUAGAGGAUCGCCGGAUCGUAAAGCACGGUUGUAAGAGUAUAAAGGGUGUUAGACUGGAACGUUGACAGUGUGACGGUAUCUUACAAGAAAGCAACGGCUAACUACGUG
Molecule: ribosomal RNA, 505 nt
Filed under: uncultured bacterium
Lineage: Bacteria
Description: partial 16S ribosomal RNA
Rfam family: Bacterial small subunit ribosomal RNA
Source: RNAcentral